Long non-coding RNA from Erpetoichthys calabaricus (reedfish), 1381 nucleotides. RefSeq lists it as uncharacterized. The transcript is spliced from 3 exons. NCBI's taxonomy places the organism in Eukaryota, Metazoa, Chordata, Cladistia, Polypteriformes, Polypteridae. The record is from RefSeq and is a predicted model, not a curated record.
CUAGAAUGGUAUUAGAGUAUUUUUAAGUAAUCUACAUUUGUGUUUUUUAAUUAGUCCUGCAUGCUAUAUCACAGCCAUGGAGUCGCAUUAUUUUGUACAGUUUUUUUAAUGCUGGUGAGGACUGCAUGCUUCACCCUACUGUACUUGGCUUAGUCACUGUGGUAAGAAUAAUGUUUCUUUUUUCUUUUACAUGGGUAAUAUUGUUAAUAUCAGUGUAUCAGAAAUUUCUGUUUUCUUCUGUAGCUGGUAAAAUACAAGAGCACUAUUAUUGCAUGGGAACCUGAUCUUUCUCAGUUACUGGAAGUAACUAAAAAGAGAAGAAUGGAUGAGCUAGAAGAUGCAACUUUAUAUGCACUCACAGCCUUACUACUUCAGAUUCAGAAUAACCAAGAUCUGCUGCAUCUAGCACAGGAGGAAAGAGAAUCAGUUCAGGGUCUGCUACAAAAUCUUCAAGACUGGCAUACUUGCCAACCCAAUCAAACUACUAAUAUAAUUGUAACAAGUGGAGGUGUAGCAGUGUGCUUCUGUGGCCAAGGUAUUGCUUGAUAAAUCUGAAGCAACAAGACUGAAAUCUUUCGUGUAUCUAAAUAAAUGAACAUAAUACUGUGUAAACCUAUUCACUAAUAAGAUGACUAUAUUCAGUUUGAAAUAAUUAGGAAGAUACAAGAGUUAUUAAAUUUCUUAGAUUUUUUUCCAUAUACAGCAUUUUAAGCUAAUUCUGCAAAACAGUGAUAUAGUACACGUUACAAGGUAAUAAUAACAACUAUUGUGAUGUUUAUUAAUCAAAAAGGUACAAGUUCUACAACUAUACGUGUUUUUGUCUGUGUAUAUCCUGUAUCAAUAUAUAAUUUGAGAUAUUAAACAAUUACAUUAUGUAGAAAUAAAAUUAAAAUGUGUGUUAAUUUUGUUAAUUUUUUUCUGAUCUCUUGUGUUAAUUUUAAAUGUAAAGAGGUUUAUUAUUAUUAAUAGCUGAUUCACUAAUUUGCUGCAGAGGGCACAGUGUUGAAUAGAUGUAAAUAUAGUUAAAAGUGGUGACGUUGUGAAUUAAUUAUUUGUUUUAGGAAUGAAAAUAAAUUGUUAAAAAGCAUUAGUGGAAGCAUGUCUUUUUCCAGCUAUUUUAGAAUAAUACCCAACUAUUUUAAAAUCACAUUAUUCAUAUUGUGAAGAACGUCCGGGGAUCAUGCCCUGUCGGGAAGCCUGGGAGAGCAGGGGACCAUGAAAAGGGCAAGCCAUUCUCUGGGAUAGGAAAGGACAGCCACCCUGGGUUACGUCGGAGCCACAAGCAUGGGGCUGUAAUGCUCAAGCCUGUUGGGUUACGUGGCCACCACCACCACCAGGGGCCGCUGGGAUAAUUCCGUUUGAGGUGGAAGUGCUGCCAGAA